AAAGAAUUAGUUAAUUUAUAACCUUAGUAUGUCAAACUAAAAUUAUUAGAACGUUCUAAUAUUCUUUA
This 68-nucleotide transfer RNA is filed under the name Oyamia nigribasis. RNAcentral describes it as "tRNA-Asp". Lineage: Eukaryota; Metazoa; Arthropoda; Insecta; Plecoptera; Perlidae. The record is from RNAcentral.